GUGCUCGCUUUAGUAGCACAUAUACUAAAAUUGGAACAAUACAACAAAGAUUAACAUGGCCCCUGCACAAGGAUGAUAUGUAAAUUUGUAAAGUGUUCCAUAUUUUU
Prolemur simus (greater bamboo lemur) is the source of this 107-nucleotide small nuclear RNA. NCBI's taxonomy places the organism in Eukaryota, Metazoa, Chordata, Mammalia, Primates, Lemuridae. The record is from Ensembl.